GUGGAGUCAGUGGGUAUGUGAGUGGAUGAAAGCCAGAGUUACAAGGACUAAACAACAGAACGUGACGUCUGACUGGGGCGUGGAAAGAAAAGCCCUAAGGUAUCCGAUUUUAACACGUAACUUUCCAAGCUGAUUGCAUUCCCAAGAAGAGGGCAAAGCCUGGGAAGCAACCUGAGAAAGGGUCAAGUUAACACCUGCCAUUUCCACACUUGAAAACAACCGAGAAGAAACAGCAGGCAGGCUGGCUGCGGAAUGACAGCACGCUCGACCCUGGAGGAGGCUCCGCCAGAGUUUGACUACGAGAGGCGUGACAGAAGGAAAA
Molecule: long non-coding RNA, 322 nt
Organism: Mastomys coucha (southern multimammate mouse)
Lineage: Eukaryota; Metazoa; Chordata; Mammalia; Rodentia; Muridae
Exons: 3
Source: RefSeq, a predicted model, not a curated record